Long non-coding RNA from Siniperca chuatsi (mandarin fish), 2085 nucleotides. RefSeq lists it as uncharacterized. The record is from RefSeq and is a predicted model, not a curated record. Lineage: Eukaryota; Metazoa; Chordata; Actinopteri; Centrarchiformes; Sinipercidae. The transcript is spliced from 3 exons.
CGACAGCCACUUCCCCACCUACACGUCAGCAGCGUAGCGUAGCGUACGCUGCGUUCUGACGUCACCACAAGAACGCCAAAGUUUUUAGUUCUUUUAACCACGUGAUGAAAUGAUUCUUCCUUUAAGACUUCUGCAGAAUUGUGACCUUGGCAGUCGGUUUGGGACACUGAAGCUGGGGAAAUGUUUCCGGUCGAUGGCCAACAAUGCUGCUGACGAUCAGAGGUUGCCCGCAGGGUUCCGGUGGAACGGUCGAUGCAGGCCUACCAGCGCUGGGAUGUCAUGAAAGGAGCCGGUGGCAGACAGGUGCCAUAGAGACACUCUAAGUGUUUUACAGCAUCGUGCUGCCACACAACUGGAGAAUUGACUCCGCCGGGAGAAACGUACAGAGCAAUCAGUCUCACCUCGUCACUUUUUGGAAAUACAUUUUUGGUGAUAUAGUUUUUAGAAACUUGUGUCCAGAGCCGUGUUUUCCCAGUGUGACAAUCUCAAGCAAAGACCGAUGGCAGCCCAGGAAGUGGUGACUUUGUCCAAUCGAAUUCUUUUUUUCCAUUUUAGCCACCCAUCUGGCUUCAUUUCACUGUUGCUUACAAGUGAUUAUAUCAAGUAGGUUUUAUUUUCUACAGGUUGAGGCACGAUUCAGUUAUGUGCUUCAUGGUGGUUGUCAGUUUGCACCUGUUGAACUGUGGAGUCAGAUCAGCCUCAGUAAUAAUGAAGCACACAGGAUUCACUAAUGGAUUUUUAUAGAAAUGACUCUCUCCACAGAAAUAUUCUUCAGUGCACACAGAAACACUUAUCGUCGUGUAUACAUGUAAAACAAAUCCUCAUAUAAAAAGACUCCGUUCACAAAUGUGUUUCUGAUGCACACAAAUAUUUCUUGUUUUAAAUAAAUGUAAUAGAAAUACACACAUAUGUAUUCAAAAGAAUUUGCAAUUUUCAUCAAAAACAUAUUUGGAUGUUGUUACAUUUAUAUAGAAACUGGCUGUCAUUUGUGAAAGUCACUGCAUUUUUUUAAAUAAACUUUAUUGAAACAAGUGUACAACAAGUUCGAACAUGUUGUGUAUACAGCUUGAGUCUAUAAUCACAAGUACGCUGGGGGACUAAAGGUAAUAAAAAAUAUAACAGAAAUAAUAAAAAGUUAAAUAAACAUCUUGUAAAGCUUACAAUAGUUAUAUACGUUGUUAGCAGCUUUUUUGUUUGUACAUUCAGAAAUAGAAGAAGUGUAUUGUUUGAUAUGGACAUUGAGCUCUGAAAAGUUCGCCUUUUUUCUUAAAGAUUUAGAUUUAUGAAUACAGAAUUUGGUCAGAUUCACAAAUGCAUUUUUUUCAACAGGGAAUUUUCUGUAGCCAAUCAGAUGGCUCCUUCUGCUUCAGCCAAUCACGUAGAUGGCAGAGACCUGGCCAGAGGCUUCACUGACUAAACCAAAGAGAGCCAUAACAGCAGAUAACCACUGCAGGCAGGCCAGGGCUGGGAAGUGCCGUCGGCAGCACUGCAGUGAGCGCACAGCGUGUACGAACCAGUGCUGGGAGUGACGCUGAGGCGGAGACGGCUCGCGAUCAUUUCUAGUGACAAAAAGAUGAAAGAGACACCUGUAAAACUGUUGGCAGGACACCUCAAACUGCAAACAAGGUCAACUAUGACUCUUUCUAUUAUGAGUUUUUGAUCCACAGAGGUUUUAUAUUUGUAAAACCUUCCUCGAGCCCAGAAAAGAGAUUGUAAGAACCGUGACGUCAUCACAAUGUAAAGUCUAUGGGCCGAACGGGAACUCGGCGGGCGGGGCCAGCGGGAGAAACACUACUGCGCAUAUUCAGUGGGCCGCAUACCCCGGAAGUAAACCCGGACGCUAGAAAACGUUUUUGGCGUGUGCGCCAGGCGAGCAGUUCUCAUCGGAAUGAAUGGGCGCCAUCUUGGGGUCCGGGAUCCAGUCCUAAUAAUACAUCCAUGGGUACCGCCCAUCAGAGGCAGCGUUGGGGGGGGUCUCUCCCAUCUACGUGAUUGGCUGAAGCGGAAGGAGCCAUCCGAUUGGCUACAGAUAAUUCCCUGCUGAAAAAAUGAAUUGCAUUUGUGAAUCGAGCCAUGUUUACUGCC